This 428-nucleotide ribosomal RNA is filed under the name Chloroflexota bacterium. RNAcentral's name for it is "Chloroflexi bacterium partial 16S ribosomal RNA". It matches the Rfam family "Bacterial small subunit ribosomal RNA", at positions 355 to 776 of the family's 1533-position model. The record is from RNAcentral. Lineage: Bacteria; Bacillati; Chloroflexota.
UGGGGAAUAUUGCACAAUGGGCGCAAGCCUGAUGCAGCCAUGCCGCGUGUAUGAAGAAGGCCUUCGGGUUGUAAAGUACUUUCAGCGGGGAGGAAGGGAGUAAAGUUAAUACCUUUGCUCAUUGACGUUACCCGCAGAAGAAGCACCGGCUAACUCCGUGCCAGCAGCCGCGGUAAUACGGAGGGUGCAAGCGUUAAUCGGAAUUACUGGGCGUAAAGCGCACGCAGGCGGUUUGUUAAGUCAGAUGUGAAAUCCCCGGGCUCAACCUGGGAACUGCAUCUGAUACUGGCAAGCUUGAGUCUCGUAGAGGGGGGUAGAAUUCCAGGUGUAGCGGUGAAAUGCGUAGAGAUCUGGAGGAAUACCGGUGGCGAAGGCGGCCCCCUGGACGAAGACUGACGCUCAGGUGCGAAAGCGUGGGAGCAAACAGG